Enhygromyxa salina is the source of this 151-nucleotide non-coding RNA. The record is from Rfam. Lineage: Bacteria; Pseudomonadati; Myxococcota; Nannocystales; Nannocystaceae.
UCGGCUCGGUAUCGAUGGCGACACCAGGAGACUGGUGUGUGGAGGGAGUCUGACGUAAGUCAGCCCGGCGUAAGCCGCGAACAGGUCAGCGACCUGGGGAAACCUCGCAAGAACUCAACAAUUCGUCACCCCGAUGCACAGAUACCAGCUG